UGGUCACUAAUUGACCAUUAAAACACUAAUUCACCCUUAAAACACAAAUCUCUCAAUUUAGUUCAAGAGCCCUAAUUCUCAAAUUUCAGUUUAUGCACAUACAUCAGUUAAACAUACUAAUUCACUAUCCAUUUUAUAUCAACACCUCAAACACCAUUUCUAACCCAUUUUGAAUCCAUGAAAACCAUCAAAACUACUACACCCAUAGGGCUGCUAAAUUCCAUCCAUUCCUCUACACAAAUGUUUUAUUCAAUUUCUCACAAUUUUCUUACUCAAUUUAAGUCCCCAACAUGAAAAGAAAGAGAGAGAGAGAUAGAAAAAUAAGCACUAACGUCUCUUGUGACCUACCUUAGACUUGCCCAACUUCAAAAUUUUCUCAAAUUUCUACUGCCUUAUGCUUCCUCAAGGUUUAGGGAUAAUUUUUUGUGAAUGAAGUUUAGGGUUUUGGGGUGGAAAGCUUAGGGAAAGUCAAACUUGAGCAAGAGCUUUCAUGGAGGUCUUUUGUUCUCUCUCUCUUUCUUGGUUCGGCUCAUAUGAAGAAGCUGCUGGUUUCUUUUGUUUCUUAUCUCAUUUUAAGUUCAUUUCUUAUCCCUUUUUAUCUCUUAUAAAUUGGCUUGUCAAAUUCUAAUUAGUGGGAAGCUUUUUAAUGAUGUCAUCCUAUGUCAUAAAUAUAAUUAAAUUCUAUUUUUUUUUCUUUUCUACUUAUUUUCAAUUCAAUUUUUAGCAAU
Molecule: unclassified non-coding RNA, 728 nt
Filed under: Hevea brasiliensis (rubber tree)
Lineage: Eukaryota; Viridiplantae; Streptophyta; Magnoliopsida; Malpighiales; Euphorbiaceae
Source: RNAcentral